GACGAACGCUGGCGGCGUGCCUAAUACAUGCAAGUAGAACGCUGAAGCGAGGAGCUUGCUCUUCUUGGAUGAGUUGCGAACGGGUGAGUAACGCGUAGGUAACCUGCCUUGUAGCGGGGGAUAACUAUUGGAAACGAUAGCUAAUACCGCAUAACAAUGGAUGACACAUUUCAUUUAUUUGAAAGGGGCAAUUGCUCCACUACAAGAUGGACCUGCGUUGUAUUAGCUAGUAGGUGAGGUAAUGGCUCACCUAGGCGACGAUACAUAGCCGACCUGAGAGGGUGGUCGGCCCAACUGGGACUGGGACACGGCCCAGCAUCCUACGGGAGGGAGCAGGAGGGAAUCUUCGGCAAUGGGGGCAAACCUGACCGAGCAACGCCGCGGGAGUGAAGAAGGUUUUCGGAUCGUAAAGCUCUGUUGUAAGUCAAGAACGGGUGUGAGAGUGGAAAGUUCACACUGUGACGGUAGCUUACCAGAAAGGGACGGCUAACUACGUG
Molecule: ribosomal RNA, 497 nt
Filed under: uncultured bacterium
Lineage: Bacteria
Description: partial 16S ribosomal RNA
Rfam family: Bacterial small subunit ribosomal RNA
Source: RNAcentral